CACUCUACAGGGUCACAGUGAACGUGGGAGAGCCGUGAUAAUGGUGGUCUUGACAUCUGGACUGAGCUGAAAGCACAGAGACAAGGUGCACAAUAUGGGAAACAUCCUGGUUGAGCAGAGAGUGGAGCUGAGGUACAUGGGAAACAGAUUGACAGCUAGUGAGAGCCAGGUGGAGGAACUGAAGAGAGACAAUGCAGCCCUGGAGACCAGACUGAGCGUCAGUGAGAGGCUGGGAGAGGAGCUGAAGAGAGAGAAUGCAGCACAAGCAGCAGCGCUGUCAGCCAUGGGAGCCAGAGUGACAGCCAGUGAGAGCCAG
Long non-coding RNA from Oncorhynchus gorbuscha (pink salmon), 316 nucleotides. RefSeq lists it as uncharacterized. The record is from RefSeq and is a predicted model, not a curated record. The transcript is spliced from 3 exons. Lineage: Eukaryota; Metazoa; Chordata; Actinopteri; Salmoniformes; Salmonidae.